AGAAAGGUGGCGUGCGGUUAUGUAGUAAUUCGGGGUAAAUAGCGUGUGGUUGUUUCUUUCUUUUUAACCUCAAACUUCACAAUGCACGAGAACUCAAACGCAGCCUGCUGCAACUUCUGUAACUGCAACAGCUACAGAAUCUGUCCAUUUCCCAAUAAAUAUUCACUAAAAUUUUCAAACCCCACAUUGUUUCGCUUCACACUAAUCUAUCAAGAUUAAAGUCAAGUAAAGUAAUGAGCUUUCUCUCUUUCUAUCUCUCUCUUGUUCAUCUUCCAAAUGUAAACCCGACUAAAUGCCAUUUUUAAGCCCCUAUUUCGAUGUUUUGAGCAAAAUCCCAGAAAAACUUUGAUACCGGUGGCUUUUAGAUUGCAGACAAAGGGGGAGGGCUAAAACCGUCUUCUUUUUCUUCUUUAUUUUUCUUCUUUUCCCGGUAAGAAUAAGAAGGAUUUGCUUUAUCUUUGCGGGUUUUGUUUGAUUGCGGGAUUGUGUUUUGUGGUACUUUCUUUGAAUCUUUUGUUUUAGUAUUUUGAUGAUGAAAGCAUGUUCAGGUUUAAAGCUCUAACAUUUCUUAAUCUUUGGUCAGUUGGUUGGUUGGCUAAUUUGGUUUCUUGCUUUUUUAAACCCAUUGAUUGAUUGAAUCAUUAUGGAUUUUUAAUUAGUUUGAAUCUCUUCACUCUCUUUUGAGCGCAAAUCCAAUAUGUUAAUAUUUGUUUAAUCAACCUUUUGAUGUCAUAAUUAACUCUGAUAACCUUCUUUAUUUCUUUAAUCUUAGCUGUUUGUAGCCACUACCCAUAGUUUAAGGCACUUGACCCGUAAUGUUGUUUCUUCUUAGAGCUUGCUGUGCAUUGUUUAAACCCAUUUUUAUAAUGAUUUCCAUUUUCCUAUUCAUUUGCUUCAAUUCUACUGUUUUUGAAAGCUAAAUAUUCCUUUCAACGUAUCAUUGUUAGAUCUGACUCAGUUUAGGGUUUUAAUCUUUCAAAGGGAUGGAGUAUGCCACCACUAAACCCUCUAAACCCUCUUCAAACAUAUCAGAAAUGGUCUCUAAAUUUACAAAAGUUUGCAAACUGAGAUCCAUUGGUGUGUUUUCCAAUGAAAACCCAAAUCAGAACCCCCACCGUUAUCACCGCAGCCUGAAUGACAACAAUAUUCAAUCAGUGGGUGAAGAUAGCAGUGAUGCCACUGAAGAAACAGAGUGUGCUGAUGAGAAAAUCCAUCCACAGCCUGCUGUAGUUCCCGUCAAAGCCAAUAUGUAUGGUGGAGACUUCAUUCUUCAGUUAUUUGAAUCGAUUUCUGCCAUGAAAUUAGCUUAUAUUCAGCUUCAGGAAGCUCAUGUUCCUUAUAACCCUGAUAAGAUUAUAGCUGCUGAUGAAUGUGUUGUGGCUCAACUCGAAGCACUUUGUAAGAUCAAGCGCAGUUUUAAAGAGAAACAAUUCAUUAAAGCCAAGCCUGAUUCCUCUUAUGUUGAUUGUGUACAAGCUGAAAUUGAAGUUAAUGAGAAGCUGUUAGAGAAACUAAAGACCCAAAAAAGAUUUAAAGAUGCUGAGAUUGUUCAUUUGCGACAACAACUCCAUGAUUUGGAUUUGGGGAAUGCCAUCUUGGUAGAGAAGGUAAGACAGAAAAGUUUGGAGAGAAAAAAUGUGAGGGCUUUAAAUAUUGCCAUGUUUCAGGACACCUUUAUAGCAGCUUCAAAGUCUAUUCAUGAUUUCGCAAAGCCAGUAAUUAGCUUGAUGAAAGCUUCAGGUUGGGACUUAGACCAGGCAGCCAAUUCAGUUGAACCUGGGGCUGUUUACUCCAAAAGGUCUCAUAAGAAGUAUGCGUUUGAGGCCUACAUUGCGCGAAGAAUGUUUCAUGGGAUAUCACUUAAAUCCUACAAUGUCGAUGAUGUUAUGAGGUUUGAUGAUCCCAUUGAUUCUCUGAUAGAAAAUCAUAAUUCAGGUUUUGCCAAGUUCUGCAGAAAAAAGUACUUAUUUGUUAUUCAUCCAGUAAUGGAGAUGUCCUUCUUUGGUAAUUUGGAUCAGAGGAUGUUUGUAUUGGGUGGCAAGCAUCCAAGGACACCAUUCUAUCAAAUAUUUGCAAGAAUGGCAAAGUGGGUUUGGGUUCUAAAGGGGAUUGCAACCUCAGUUGAUCCCAAAGCCGAAAUAUUUGCUGUGAGUAGGGGAAGCAAAUUCUCAGAUGUUUAUAUGGAAUCUAUAGAAGGGGAAGAUACAUUCAUCCCUAAUGGAGAACAGUCUGAUAUCAAAGUCGAGUUUAUGGUGAUGCCUGGGUUCAGAAUUGGAGACACAUUGGUGAGGUCGCAGGUUUAUCUUUCGGAAGUGAAGCCAAUUUGCUGUGCAUGAUAGAUGGAGGUGCUCUAAUGACGGGUAACCUUGCAAAACUAAUUCUGUUAUUUUGAACAUGUCAAUUCCUAGCUAAGUUAGUUUAGAGCUACUAUUUUUGUUUUUGAGAUUAUAGCUAGGUACAAUGUGGUGGCUGGUGGGAUUAGAAAACUAGAAGCUCAAAGCUUGUACUUCUUACCCGUCGUUUCUUUUACAUCUAUAAUUGUCAUAAGCUGCAAAAGUUUUGUUGCAUGCUUCUUGAAUUGUAAAUAGAUAUCUACUUGUUGAUGCCAUUAUAUUUAUUCCUUCGUUACUUCCUGACUGUAGACUUUAGGAUUAAAAAUGUGUUGGUGUAAUCUGUCUAAUCACCUGCAAACUGUACUGUGUCCUUAUCUCAUGUGUAAUUAUAUUAAAGAACAUGCUAAGUUUCUCUUCAAUGGAAUUGUAGGAAAUCUUGCUAUAUGACACUUUUAUUGUCUGGGAAAGAAGUUAUAUAUUUUGCUUCAAAGCUCAGGAGUUAAAAUAUUCCUGUGUUUUAAUUUAGAGGGACAUGAUCUAAUAUUUAGAUAUAUCCAUAUCUUAGGUUUUAUUUUAUGUCCAUUUAUAUAUUAUCUUAUAGGCAUAGAGGCACAAUGGAUUGAAUUUUAGUUUCUUAGUUUUCAUCAGAGUCGUGUUUUACCUUUUUUUCAAAUUUAAGCUUCUGGUCUCGCUAGUAAAAGUAAUGUCAAGUUUGCUUGUAAUUUAGUAUCAUGAAUCUUGGAAUAAGCAGGAACAUUGCAUUUCAAUUUCUUUCAGUGGCUUAAAAUUUCUUUUUUUCCCCUCUGCAUACACAUGUCAUAGUGUUUGGAUAGAUGUGUUAUACACCCAUUAGAAAUAAACCUUUGAAAAUUGGCUUUAUUCCUUCAAUUAUCUACUGUGUUACAAUGAUCUAAUACAGUUAAAUCAAAGAAAGCUGCUGCUUCUUCUUC
RNAcentral lists this unclassified non-coding RNA (3283 nucleotides) under Hevea brasiliensis (rubber tree). The record is from RNAcentral. Lineage: Eukaryota; Viridiplantae; Streptophyta; Magnoliopsida; Malpighiales; Euphorbiaceae.